UUGACCUCGGAUCAGGUAGGGAUACCCGCUGAACUUAAGCAUAUCAAUAGCCGGGAGGAA
Molecule: ribosomal RNA, 60 nt
Filed under: Nemania bipapillata
Lineage: Eukaryota; Fungi; Ascomycota; Sordariomycetes; Xylariales; Xylariaceae
Description: partial 28S ribosomal RNA
Source: RNAcentral